GGGGAAGUAGCUCAGCUGGGAGAGCGCCUGCCUUGCACGCAGGAGGUCGGCGGUUCGAAUCCGCUCUUCUCCACCA
RNAcentral lists this transfer RNA (76 nucleotides) under Thermoanaerobacterales bacterium. RNAcentral describes it as "tRNA-Ala". It matches the Rfam family "tRNA". Rfam says of the family: Transfer RNA (tRNA) molecules are approximately 80 nucleotides in length. Their secondary structure includes four short double-helical elements and three loops (D, anti-codon, and T loops). RNAcentral also lists the same sequence under 2 other names. Lineage: Bacteria; Bacillati; Bacillota; Clostridia; Thermoanaerobacterales. The record is from RNAcentral.